Rattus rattus (black rat) is the source of this 2747-nucleotide RNA transcript. It is a transcript of the gene named pyridine nucleotide-disulphide oxidoreductase domain 2, with no coding region annotated. The transcript has 16 exons. Lineage: Eukaryota; Metazoa; Chordata; Mammalia; Rodentia; Muridae. The record is from RefSeq and is a predicted model, not a curated record.
CUGGGCCGGGUAGAACUUAGUUAAUUGUUCUCCUUUUGGUCCGUACUCGCUUGAGUCCUGGAGGCGACACAGACUGCCAAUUCUUAGCCUACACGCCCCCUUCCCAAGACUAGCUUGCGCAAACUCAGAGCCACAGGAGCUCAGACCCUGGGAAAUCGUGGCCCAAGGCCAAGGCUGACACUGGACUGUAACUCCUAGCCCCUCCCCCUGCCUGGGCCUCUGGAAAGCCGACUGCAAGCAAAUUGCUGGGGGCAGAAAUGGCUGCCAGCGGCCGAGGUCUCAGCAGGGCCUUGCACUCCACUCCCUGUCCUGCUUGGAAACGAGUUCAGUCGGGAGCCAACGGGCGCCUGAAGCCCGAGUACGAUGCGGUGGUGAUAGGAGCAGGACACAAUGGGCUGGUGGCAGCAGCGUACCUCCAGAGACUAGGGGUGAACACCGCGGUCUUCGAGAGGCGCCACGUGAUUGGGGGUGCAGCUGUCACUGAGGAGAUCAUUCCUGGAUUCAAGUUCUCCCGAGCGUCCUAUCUCCUCAGCUUACUGAGGCCCCGGAUUUACACAGACCUGGAGCUGAAGAAACACGGGCUGAAACUUCAUCUGAGAAAUCCCUACUCCUUCACCCCCAUGCUGGAGGAGGGCACGCUGAGCAGGCCGCCCAGGUCCCUCCUGCUGGGCACAGACGUGGCUGAAAACCAGAAGCAAAUUUCUCAGUUCUCCCGGAAGGAUGCUCAGGCCUUUCCCAGAUACGAGGAGUUCAUGAAGCGCUUGGUGCUAGCCAUUGACCCCCUGCUGGACGCAGCUCCAGUGGACAUAGCCGCCCUCCAGCAUGGCUCCCUACUGCAGAGGCUCAGGGUACUGUCCACCCUGAGGCCCCUGCUGAAGGCAGGGCGCACCCUGGGAGCCCAGCUCCCCCAGUACUACGAGGUCCUCACAGCCCCCAUUUCCAAGGUGCUGGACCAAUGGUUUGAGUCUGAGCCUCUGAAGGCAACUCUGGCCACAGACGCUGUGAUUGGAGCAAUGUCGAGUCCUCACACUCCGGGGAGUGGGUACGUGCUGCUACAUCAUGUGAUGGGCAGCCUGGAGGGGAUGCAGGGCGCCUGGAGCUACGUCCAGGGUGGCAUGGGUGCCCUCUCAGAGGCCAUUGCAAGCUCGGCUACUGCACAUGGAGCAAGUAUCUUCACAGAGAAGACUGUGGCUAAGGUGCAAGUGAACAGCGAAGGCCGUGUCCAAGGGGUCGCGCUGCAGGGCGGCGAGGAGGUCAGGAGCAGAGUCGUCUUGUCCUGUGCGUCGCCACAGGUCACCUUCUUAGAGCUGACACCACAGGAGUGGCUUCCUGGGGCCUUUGUGAAGAGAAUCUCCCAGCUGGACACCCAGUCUCCCGUUACCAAGAUCAAUGUGGCUGUGGACAGGCUGCCAAACUUCCAGGCGGCCCCCAAUGCCCCCGGGGACCAGCCACAAGCCCACCAUCAGUGUUCCAUCCACCUGAACUGUGAAGACACCCUGCUCCUCCACCAGGCCUUUGAAGAUGCCAAGGGCGGCCUGCCUUCCCAAAGACCUAUGAUUGAGCUCUGCGUCCCUUCAUCGCUGGACCCCACCCUGGCUCCACCAGGCUGCCAUGUCGUCUCCCUCUUCACUCAGUAUACACCCUACACCCUGGCAGGAGGCAAGGUCUGGGACGAGCAAGAGAAAAACACCUACGCAGACAAAGUGUUUGACUGCAUCGAGGCCUACGCCCCCGGCUUCAAGAGAUCUGUGCUGGGCAGAGAUAUCCUCACCCCACAGGACCUAGAGAGGAUCUUCGGGCUUCCUGGAGGGCACUCCUGCACUAACAGCUGGAACCUGGGAACCCUGCCUCCCCACAGCACUCCUGCACUAACAGCUGGAACCCUAUAACCUUGCCCCCACAGAACAUAUUCCACGGUGCCAUGUCCCUGGACCAGCUCUACUUUGCCCGACCAGUGCCCCAACACUCUGACUACAGAUGCCCCGUGCAGGGCCUGUACCUCUGUGGGAGUGGGGCCCAUCCUGCUUGGCGGGAGCUUGGCCUACCAGCUGGACAUUGCCCAACUAAUGAAUGGAAGAAUUUGGACCAACUGUUCCCUUCUUGUCAGGGGUUUCCCACCACCAACUGUUUGGAGGCCUGGCCUGCCAACACCCAGUCAACUACCGUCAAAUUCCUGUCACUAUAAAACAAACUCGCAGUGACUCACAAGCUCUUUCUCUCUCAGACCCACGUGAUGGGCCUGAGCAAAGGCUUGCAUCUCAAGCCAUCAAAACCUCUGGUCAGGAAACAGCAGUUGAGGAGGCUACAGAGUAGGUUCACCAGAAACUGCGGGAAUCACUUUCCACCGUCUGCUUGCCAGGCGCUAAAUCCGCCAUGUCCGACACUGAGCCUUUCCGCAUAAAAAGGCCUCAUUCUGCACUGAGUUGGGCUGUCACUGUCAGAACGAAACACAGGACAGUUCCACGAGUAACGACUGUACUGGCAGCCUUUGCAUGCUGGGCAAAGGCCACCAUCCCAAGCUGUCCCCUCUGAAGGUCAGAUAGAAGCUUCCUGGGGCUCUCGCACCUAGUUCCUUCUGCACAAUCAGUGGUAACUUGACGACAUUUCUGGUCAGUCUUCCAUGCAAUCAGGAGACAUUUUAAUAUUCUUUAUGUGAUGUACAUGUGUCUUCCUUUGAACUUACUUCAUAUCAAAAAUUAUUCAGUAUUAUAAGAGUUCUUUUGAAAACAUUUUAAUAGCUGUCUAAU